RNAcentral lists this ribosomal RNA (253 nucleotides) under uncultured bacterium. Its description in RNAcentral is "partial 16S ribosomal RNA". It matches the Rfam family "Bacterial small subunit ribosomal RNA", at positions 524 to 776 of the family's 1533-position model. The record is from RNAcentral.
UACGAAGGGGGCUAGCGUUGUUCGGAAUUACUGGGCGUAAAGGGCUCGUAGGCGGUCUGUCGCGUCGAAAGUGAAAGCCCUGGGCUUAACCUGGGAAUUGCAGUCGAUACUACUCAGCUAGAGUAUGGGAGAGGGCAGUGGAAUUCCCGGUGUAGCGGUGAAAUGCGUAGAUAUCGGGAGGAACAUCAGUGGCGAAGGCGGCUGCCUGGCCCAAUACUGACACUCAGGUGCGACAGCGUGGGGAGCAAACAGG